This 504-nucleotide ribosomal RNA is filed under the name Bacillus sp. (in: firmicutes). RNAcentral describes it as "bacterial SSU rRNA". It matches the Rfam family "Bacterial small subunit ribosomal RNA", at positions 60 to 545 of the family's 1533-position model. The record is from RNAcentral. Lineage: Bacteria; Bacillati; Bacillota; Bacilli; Caryophanales; Bacillaceae.
AGUCGAGCGAUGGAUUGAGAGCUUGCUCUCAAGAAGUUAGCGGCGGACGGGUGAGUAACACGUGGGUAACCUGCCCAUAAGACUGGGAUAACUCCGGGAAACCGGGGCUAAUACCGGAUAACAUUUUGAACCGCAUGGUUCGAAAUUGAAAGGCGGCUUCGGCUGUCACUUAUGGAUGGACCCGCGUCGCAUUAGCUAGUUGGUGAGGUAACGGCUCACCAAGGCAACGAUGCGUAGCCGACCUGAGAGGGUGAUCGGCCACACUGGGACUGAGACACGGCCCAGACUCCUACGGGAGGCAGCAGUAGGGAAUCUUCCGCAAUGGACGAAAGUCUGACGGAGCAACGCCGCGUGAGUGAUGAAGGCUUUCGGGUCGUAAAACUCUGUUGUUAGGGAAGAACAAGUGCUAGUUGAAUAAGCUGGCACCUUGACGGUACCUAACCAGAAAGCCACGGCUAACUACGUGCCAGCAGCCGCGGUAAUACGUAGGUGGCAAGCGUUAUC